Molecule: ribosomal RNA, 253 nt
Filed under: uncultured bacterium
Lineage: Bacteria
Description: partial 16S ribosomal RNA
Rfam family: Bacterial small subunit ribosomal RNA
Source: RNAcentral
UACAGAGGGUGCGAGCGUUAAUCGGAAUUACUGGGCGUAAAGAGCUCGUAGGCGGUUUGUUGCGUCGGCUGUGAAAUCCCGAGGCUCAACCUCGGGUCUGCAGUCGAUACGAGCAAACUAGAGUGUUGCAGGGGAGACUGGAAUUCCUGGUGUAGCGGUGAAAUGCGCAGAUAUCAGGAGGAACACCGGUGGCGAAGGCGGGUCUCUGGGCAACAACUGACGCUGAGGAGCGAAAGCGUGGGGAGCGAACAGG